Molecule: ribosomal RNA, 301 nt
Filed under: uncultured bacterium
Lineage: Bacteria
Description: partial 16S ribosomal RNA
Rfam family: Bacterial small subunit ribosomal RNA
Source: RNAcentral
CAGUAGCCGCGGUAAUACAGAGGGUGCGAGCGUUAAUCGGAUUUACUGGGCGUAAAGCGUGCGUAGGCGGCUUUUUAAGUCGGAUGUGAAAUCCCUGAGCUUAACUUAGGAAUUGCAUUCGAUACUGGGAAGCUAGAGUAUGGGAGAGGAUGGUAGAAUUCCAGGUGUAGCGGUGAAAUGCGUAGAGAUCUGGAGGAAUACCGGUGGCGAAGGCGGCCCCCUGGACAAAGACUGACGCUCAGGUGCGAAAGCGUGGGGAGCAAACAGGAUUAGAUACCCCAGUAGUCCCUGUCUCUUAUAC